AAUAAUUCAAUUUAUAAAUAUCUAAAAUAAUAAUAUAAAAUUAAAUUAUUUUACCUACGCCACCCCUAUCCAACCCAAACUUCCAAACCCAAACAUCAUUCCCCUCUUAUCCUCCCUCUCUAUUUUUUUCUCUUUAUUAAAAUUCGUCACCGUCGCCUAACCAUCACCUCAACCACCACAUUAUCACCACUUGCACCACCACUAGUACCCCGUCCCUUCCACAGAUCGCUUCAUUCACAUAUCGUUUCCAUCAUCGCUAUUGCUGCUUAUUAAUUAUGGCAAAUUGGCUCUGUGCAUCUGCGUGCAUCAGCACAGUGCAGUGAGCAUCGUUGUGCCACUGAGAGCAUCGGCAUCGCGAUUUUUACGUGGUGGUUUCUUCCUUUAUGUGCAAUUAUGUUUGUGGGUCGUUGAUGGAGUUUGUUGGCAAUUUUUCUGAUCCGAUCUACUGUGGGGGGUUUGUUGGUGGUUGGUUUUCUGAUCAAGUCUACUGUUUAGCCGGAGUUUUGAGGUGGUUGUUA
This 518-nucleotide long non-coding RNA is filed under the name Olea europaea subsp. europaea. Lineage: Eukaryota; Viridiplantae; Streptophyta; Magnoliopsida; Lamiales; Oleaceae. The record is from RNAcentral.